CUUUUUUACCACUGCCUAGAAGUGCUUCUCUGCGCCCAAGCCAUUACGAUCUGUUUGGUUCAUCUCGUGAUUCCAUGACGCCAUGGAAAGAGUAAACCGGAUAAUACAGCGCGAAACAAGGUGUAUUUCCGGAAAAUCCGAUCCACCAACACGCAAAGGGACCCACAACGUUAAGGAAAAAACGGGCAAAAUCGACCAUGAAAACAACUCAGCCCAACGAACAUCUCAACUGAGCGAAGAGGUCGACCGAACAAAAGUCUUAACCCUUCUGAUACGGAAAUACAAUCCAUUGAAAAAGUACGCAUUUGUCGAAAAAUUCGGAAGCAUGUGUCCAUGGAGUGUUGAAAAAAAAUCGAUAUAAUCGAGAAAUUAUUGUAAGUACGAUAAAUUUACUGCGCUGUUUUCCACCUAAAAUGUAUGCAAAUACAAAAUAAUUUUUUGUUGCCA
This is a long non-coding RNA of Tigriopus californicus, 447 nucleotides long. RefSeq lists it as uncharacterized. The transcript has 2 exons. The record is from RefSeq and is a predicted model, not a curated record. NCBI's taxonomy places the organism in Eukaryota, Metazoa, Arthropoda, Copepoda, Harpacticoida, Harpacticidae.